UCAGGUGUAACAGCAUCAGCAUCAUAAAGCAUAAAAAGCAUACAAUAAAACAAGCUAAUAUGACUGCAAAAACAUUAAUACCUUUAGCUUAAAGCUUAAGCUGCUUCUUAAAGAAGUCAACAGAGUCAGCCUCAGGGAGACACAGAGACUGGGCGUUCCACAAUCCAGGAGCUCUAGCUUUAAAGGACAGGUUCCCUCACAUUUUAAAUCURGUUUUAGGAACCUUUAAAGGAUUUUAGCUUGCAGACCAAAGAUCAACAUUUCUGUAAUWUACUGUCCAUUAAGAGCUCUAAAAGUCAAGACUGAAAUUUUCGAYGACGCCGGUGGACGUCCAAAUUCUUGAAGCGAGCUCCAUUGGUUUCACAGUGYGCCAGUUUAGCUGUGUUUAACUUAAAAAAAUUGGGAAAACUGCAUGAAAUUCCACCGGAAGAACUAAAAACAUUGCACUAACAGUGACUCAGGAUACAGCCAUCAUCCUCAGGAGUAUUUUUGUCACUUUUCCUAAGCUAAGGUGCAGACUAACAGCUGGAUUUGACCGCAAAAAAGUGCAACCAUGGACUUAAUGUCUGCUAGUUGAAGCACUUUGCAGCAUGGGACACUUCCAGCAGGAAAGUCAGGGUUGUUUUGCAGAAACAACUAUGCCACGCAGACAAUAAUGUCUAAGUUUUUUUGCAUUUAAAGAUGUAUUUUAUCUUUUUCUUUUUCCUUUUCCAGUCUUUUACUUGCACCUUAUUCUCUACCAGACCAGCUUCAUUAAUCUAAAAACCGUAUGGAAGUCUAACUUGUCCUGGGGUGUGUUUUACUUAAAGAACUUUGGUAGUUCUUCCACCUUGAAGCUUUUUUUUUCACACUAAAACUAUGAUUAAUGGUGGAGGUGUUGCAGCACCAAAGGAACAGUCUUAUCUCUAAAACACACACGGCUCGGCUAUCCAMUAGCGUUAUCUCCUCCCUGCAAGACUUAAAUGCCCAGCGAACACACUGCAACACACACGAGCACACAGGCUCAGUUACUCUUUGGAUGAAGAUUAAAGGGGAAGARGUAAAAGCACGAGUAAGGAUUGAAGCUAUGAAGUAAAUUUAAAGUACUUGGUACAAGCAAAUGAAAAGAAAAAACCCUGAGUCAUACAAACUCCUGAGAAACCACGAGGAGUUGAGUGUGUCUCUUUAAGAGGCGUGAGGAAGAAAACUGAAAGUAUUCAGGCUUCCUGUGUGGGAAAACACCCAGUUGCUCCAAUCCAGGCCCACAGAACACGUAAGUAGAUCUUUUCUGAGUCCAGAAGUUUUGGGAUUUGAGGACCUGCAGUUAAAUCCCUGCUGUCUCUUAUGAGAAAUACAAACUAACAGCCUUAUAGACWGAAUAAUAAGUGAGCUUCAUCCUCUGCAGGCUCAGUUGUGUAAACAAAGAAAUGCUCAUGAAGGUGCUUUUGUCACUGCUGAUUUAGGAGUUAAUGUUAAACUUCAACCGUUUUAUGAGGUCUUUCUUUUAAWGUUUAUCUUUUAAAGCUUUGAAUCUCAAUAAAAUCAAAUGGUUCUUUAAUGUUAAACAGACUCCACAUGAUUCUGUACCUKGAACACAACCAGCCUUUUAGAACCAGAUCUGGAUAUUACGUUACUUUUAUUAUUAAAACUUUAAUAUUGCACCUUUGCUAAAAUAUUUUCCUGGUACAGGAUUUUGACAAAUGCGGGACAAUAUUACAUCUUGCAUGAUUUCAAACAGUCAAUGCAUUUUAUAUCUAAAUGUUGAUGCAAAAGAAUUCUGUGAAAGUGUUUGAGUGAUAUGAAUUUGACUUUUGAGCUGUUAAAAYGCUCAAACAAUAAGUUUAAUCAAAAUACAUGUAAACAAAAAGGUUUUGUACAAGUUUACUCAUCUACUCUGAAAAAAAAAAGUAUUUUAGCACUAAAAGAUCUGCUUAUUGCCAUUUAUUCCCCCCCAAAAAACUGACUUUUAACUAAUUGAAUGUUUUCUGUGUUUGAAGAAAUGGCAUCCAGCAGCAGUUUGUCUGAGGACCAGUUUCUUUGUCCCAUCUGUCUCGAUGUCUUCAUCAGACCUGUGUCCACGCCGUGCGGACACAACUUCUGCAUGUCCUGCAUCCAGUCCUACUGGGACGACAYGCCGCACUGGGAGUGUCCAAUGUGUAAGGAAUAUUUUACGAACAGGCCCAACCUGAAAGUCAAUACUUUCAUUUCAGAGCUGGUGUCCCACGUCAGAUCGCUCCGUCUGACAGACAGUCCUGUCCAGAGUCCUCGUCCUGACGACGACGUGCGCUGCGACGUCUGUGGCGACUCCCAGACGGCCGCUGUCAAGUCCUGUCUGGAGUGUCUGGCGUCGUACUGCGGCAGACACCUGGAGCCACAUUACGCAGCCUCUGGACUGAGGAGGCACACGCUGUUGGAACCUGUGGCGAACUUGGCGAACAAGAUCUGCAGGAAGCACCGCCGGCUGCUGACGCUGUUCUGCAGCAGCGACGGCUCGGUGCUCUGCGACUUCUGCGUCGGCGCGGAACACGUGAACCACGACGUGGUCCCCCUGCAGCGGGGGUACGACCAGACGAAGGCCCUGCUCGGGCGGUCGGAGGCCAAGGUGCAGCGGAUGAUUCAGGAACGGCUGCAGAAGGUCCAGAACGUGAGGGCGUCGGUGACGGAGAGCAAGGCGAAGGCAGAAGAGGUGAUUGCCAAGAGCRUGCAGGACUUAACGGAGCUGGGGUUGGAGAUUAAGAAGGUCCAGGCGGAGCUCGUCAAGGCGGUGGAGGAGAAGCAGAAAGCAGCGGAGCAACAAGUGGAGGGGUUUAUCGGCGAUAUGGAGAGGGAGCUUUGUGAGUUAAAGGCAACGGCGAGGAACAUGGAGAUGCUCAGACAAACUAAAGAUCAGCUCAGUUUCCUCCAGAGUUACCCAAACCAGUGCUUACUGCCACACACCAUGGACCUGUCCACCUUCAGCUUUAACCACCACCUGGAGAUCCAGCACAUGCAGAAAUAUUUCAGAAACUCCAUCUCACAGCUGCAGGCGUUACUGGUGCAAAUAAACGAGGAAAUAAAUAAAUUCUCCAGCGGCGCGAGAGACGCCUCAAACGACGUCACGCUCAGAUACAUGCAGCAGUACGAGGCGAGCAUCCUGCUCGACCCCGACUCCGCUCACCCACUGCUCAGUCUGUCUGCCGACGGGAAACAGGUGAGGUACAACACGGGUACGGGUCUGUGGGGAAACCAGGUCCCGACUCACAACAUGUUCACCUCGCACCUCGCAGUUCUGGGACGGAUGGGCUUCUCGGCUCGGAAGUUUUACUUUGAGGUUUACGUGGGUCAGAAGACGGAGUGGAUUCUGGGCGUGGCCACGGCGUCCAUCCAGAGGGUCGGAGAGAUCGUCCGGAACCCUGACCGCGGACUCUGGGCCGUCUGGUUUCUGGUAGAUCGGUUUGAAACCUUCGAUUCUCCCGGUGUGACGGUGCACGUUGGGAAAGUGGAGAGGGUCGGGGUGUUUGUCGAUUACGACGGAGGUGAAAUAUCGUUCUUCGACGUCGUCAGAGCAACACCUAUUCACUCGUUUACUGAAUGUUUCUUCACCGAGGAGCUCUAUCCGUACUUCAACCCCUGUGACAAUGAGUACGGGUCGAACCUGGACCCGAUGGUGAUUGUUCCUGUUUGUACAGAGUGAGCAUAAAGUGAUAUAUUCAGCGAACACAUUUUCGUCAUUUAGCUCAUUACAUCUCAACCCCCUUCAGGUGUUCACCUGUAUCWURACCCUCAAACAUCCUUCAUUUUCAUAAAGAAUCUUGAGUACCCAUACGCGAGGAUGGUCUGCAGGGAAAGAUGGAACGUGGGGCAGAGAUAAAAGCGCCUGCAGAGCAGAGGAGCAGGGAAAGGAGGACGAGGAGAGACUCUUGAAUUCGUCUCGACGCCCUCGGCGCUCACACCCUCCUCGGUGCCACGACAGCCAUACUCUGCCCAUCGCCAUGGGAACGCUCAGCCUCCCUGGUCCUAUAAUCCAUUUUCCUGCCACAAUGAGUGCUUGACACGGUUCACAGUCGCAGGCUUGUGUGCUGUCUGUGUGGCGACGCACGCUUCUUCACAAAAUAAACAUAUUAAAUUGCUUGAAUGUGAUUUUGACAAAAAAAAUGUGUUUGAACCUAUUCAGGUGUUUCUUUUUUGCUAUAUGUCUUCAUUUCACUCAUUUGUCAAUGUGUGUGAAGCUGUAAAAUCACAUAUUUCAGCCUGAGGAGGAGGAGCUCCACUCCCCACCCCCAUCACCUUCAUCAUCGUCAUCAUCAUCAUUCCUCAUGGAUGUACAGAAAUGAAAAUGAGAGGCAGGGAGGAGUAUAGGAGCAGGAGGAGGGGCAGCGGGAGACAAGCUUUAUGACUGUCUGACACAGAAUGUGGGGAAAUAUGGAGGGAAAACAGAAACCAUGGAGUGAAGGAAGAAAGAGAA
This is an RNA transcript of Austrofundulus limnaeus, 4423 nucleotides long. It is a transcript of the gene named E3 ubiquitin-protein ligase TRIM39, with no coding region annotated. The record is from RefSeq and is a predicted model, not a curated record. The transcript is spliced from 2 exons. NCBI's taxonomy places the organism in Eukaryota, Metazoa, Chordata, Actinopteri, Cyprinodontiformes, Rivulidae.